GACAGUCCAGUGAUGGUGGAGUGGUGAUCUGAUGGUGGAGGGCUAUGGGCUUUUAGCAAAAAAGAGGGGGAGAAAAGAGUAAGAAAAGAAAAUAAGGUAGAGGAAAAGAAGGAUCUACGGUGGCUCGCAACGAGAAUUGACGACAGAAGGGAGGAGGAGCAAGGAGGGGUCAUGCUUAUGGUGGCUAAAAGGUGUGUUGAUGGUGGUACAAUGGUCGGUUGUGGUGGAGGAAGAGCAAAGACUAAAGAAAAAUGGGUGGUGGUUCUUUUUUUUUUUCAAGUUGAGAGAAAAUAGAGGUGAAAAAAAUAAAAAAAUAAAAAGAAUAUGGGAGAAUGAAGAAGGUAUAGACGGCAAUGGGAGUGGUAAGCUUGGUCAACUAUGACCAGGUUUAUUGAAUCAGGACAAAUAGGCAAGAAGAAAGGUUUUG
This 427-nucleotide long non-coding RNA is filed under the name Gossypium raimondii (Peruvian cotton). RNAcentral's name for it is "long non-coding RNA (GRAI_LNC004491)". The record is from RNAcentral. Lineage: Eukaryota; Viridiplantae; Streptophyta; Magnoliopsida; Malvales; Malvaceae.